CAGACCCAGUGUUCCCCACACCUCAACACAGUAAGACAGACUACAGACCCAGUGUUCCCCACACCUCAACACAGUAAGACAGACCCAGUGUUCCCCACACCUCAACACAGACUACAGACCCAGUGUUCCCCACACCUCAACACAGUAAGACAGACUACAGACCCAGUGUUCCCCACACCUCAACACAGUAAGACAGACUACAGACCCAGUGUUCCCCACACCUCAACACAGACUACAGACCCAGUGAUCCCCACACCUCAACAGACUACAGACCCAGUGUUCCCCACACCUCAACACAGACUACAGACCCAGUGUUCCCCACACCUCAACACAGACUACAGACCCAGUGUUCCCCACACCUCAACACAGUAAGACAGACCCAGUGUUCCCCACACCUCAACACAGACUACAGACCCAGUGUUCCCCACACCUCAACACAGUAUGACAGACUACAGACCCAGUGUUCCCCACACCUCAACACAGUAAGACAGACUACAGACCCAGUGUUCCCCACACCUCAACACAGACUACAGACCCAGUGAUCCCCACACCUCAACAGACUACAGACCCAGUGUUCCCCACACCUCAACACAGACUACAGACCCAGUGUUCCCCACACCUCAACACAGACUACAGACCCAGUGUUCCCCACACCUCAGUAAGACAUGUACACUGACCUUCACCCUCCUCAGGAUCCCAGUGAAAACCAACAGCCUCCUUCUGGAUACAAAGCAAUCCAUCUUUAUUAAAACGUUUCAACUUGUUAGGAUGAAGAGAGAUGACAGGUGAUGAGACGUUCGUGCUCCAGCUUCGACUAGUGGAAAGUCAUGUUGUAUGUUUGAGAAGGGUGAUUCCCCGCUGCUUCCCUGCUGGUUAAUACCUAUAUGUACAACGUUACCACAGUCUUCCUCAGCUUCCUCCUACACAAUACUACAACCAAAGAGCACCACUGGUGAAAAUAUUUACAGACAGACAAUGUACAUUUUAGGUGUUUUUCCUUUAUGCCAUCUUUUUUAAAACAUUAAAGCAUUUGAAACUCUGUAGGUGAAAGUAGCCUCUCAGUGUGUAUCGUUGUCCUCGUCCCGUUCUACAGCACAACAGCCCCGAGUCACACAGCUGAGAGGACAGAUCCACAGACCCACUGGCUCUGACCUGUCAGGAAACUGACCUGGAGUCAGGGUGCGCAUCACAAAUACCACCUUAUUCCCUAUAUAGUGCACUAGUUUUGACCAGAGCUUUUGGCCAUAGGUCUCUGGUCAACAGUAAUCACCUACAUAAUGAAUAGGUUGCUAUUUGGGAUACACCCUUAGUCAGACCUGACCAGCUACAGGAGGUACUAAGGAAGUGACAACAACAACAACAACACCACCACAGUAAAACAAGAUGGAGGAAUCUGACCACAGAACAGAUAUUAUGUGAAGACACUGUGAAAGAGUCGUACCAGAAUGCUGCCUUUUGAAAAAAUAAACAUGUUGCCUUUGAAUAGUAUCCUGCCUGAUUCAGAACUAGCCUUUCACCCAGGGUAUAACAUCAAUCAACAGGUGAAUCAGAACUAGCCUUUCAUCCCAGGGUAUAUCAACAGGUGAAUCAGAACUAGCCUUUCAUCCCAGGGUAUAUCAUCAAUCAACAGGUGAAUUAGAACUAGCCUUUCAUCCCAGGGUAUAUCAUCAAUCAACAGGUGAAUCAGAACUAGCCUUUCAUCCCAGGGUAUAACAUCAAUCAACAGGUGAAUCAGAACUAGCCUUUCAUCCCAGGGUAUAACAGGUGAAUCAGAACUAGCCUUUCAUCCCAGGGUAUAACAUCAAUCAACAGGUGAUUCAGAACUAUCCUUUCAUCCCAGGGUAUAUCAUCAAUCAACAGGUGAUUCAGAACUAGCCUUUCAUCCCAGGGUUUAUCAUCAAUCAACAGGUGAAUCAGAAGUUGCAGUCUGUAGUAAAAGUGGUCAACAAGACAAGAGGAAGAAACCAACCGUUCAUAAAUUCACAGGAAACUAUUAAAAUAAUUAUUUACAAAAUAACCAAUAUACUACAGAAAAAAACCUACUGCACACACCAGUACUUUUGGAGAAAAGAAAAAUAUAACUAUAUUUAAAUUAACUUUCUUCUUUUUUUUAAACAAUAUAAAAGCUAUGCUCAAAAGUGGCUUUUUCUUUUUAUAAAACAGUCCCAGGUCUUUUCAGUGUCCAUGUGAGAUGAGAGUUGCUGCUGGCAACGCGAGAAAAUAAAUACAUAUUUGUCUCGUCUGUCUUCCUUGGCGUGGAAAUAGUGUCUUCCUGGAUAUCAGACCUGUAGAGAGACCAGAGAACAGACUUACUACAGAGAUACUACAGCACCCAGACUUACAAUCAAAACACCACAGCUAGCCUGAAAUACAGACCUGUUUUGUGCUAACAUUCCACUGCUUGUACUCUUGUGUCAUUUGUUUGGCACGACAAGGAGAUAGAUGAAGGUUAACACAAAGAGACUGGUACCCAGGCUAUGUCACAAACAGCAGCAGCUUGGAGAAAUACAGGCUUCCAUACAGUAUAGACGAGCACAGCUCUUAGCCCAGGCUCCAUAUUCAC
RNAcentral lists this long non-coding RNA (2563 nucleotides) under Salmo salar (Atlantic salmon). RNAcentral describes it as "lncRNA (ENSSSAG00000120993.1)". The record is from RNAcentral. Lineage: Eukaryota; Metazoa; Chordata; Actinopteri; Salmoniformes; Salmonidae.